AAUUAAGAGUUAAAACUUUGCUGAAACUUUUCGCCUAUUUACUUUUCAAAUUGAGCAUUACAUUUGUCAAAUAUCUGUCUUGUGAUUUAUGGACUGUCCAGCCGCUCACGAGGAGCAGCAAAGCUGAUAUGAGUCUCGUGCUGUCUCUAUACCAGAUGCUUCCGUGGUUACCAUAGUAACGGAGCUUGUUUGCAAUGUAGCGAAAGAGCUUGCAAAUAAACAAAAUAAAUAACAUUCUAUAUCUAUGACAUAUGCUCAGUUGUUACAUUUUACAUGACCUUCUAUAGGUCUCCAUACAUUGGGUAAACUUUCAGAAGUAAUACAAAUGCCGCGACCAAAGUAUUUCACUCCGAACGAGGUGUCCUUUCAUAACACCAUGCCUUGGCGACUUGUGGGUGUCAUACCUGGGCAAGGUGUACGACCUGACACUAUUGGUGAAUGACUUUAAACGUGAGUUGUCAGAUGCAUGCAUUUAUAAUAGGCUAUUAUUAGGCUACAAACAUUUAUUAAAUUACACAAUUAUUUUUCAGGGGAUGUACUUCUGAAACCUAUUAUUGACUGUGCAGGAAAUGACAUCAGUCAAUGGUUUGAAUUAAAGACAAKAUUUGGGGCGCUCUGUGCACGUGUCGUCUCCCUGCCCUAGUACUGACUGGACCAAUGACUUUGGGCAACCCUGGUGGAGGGAUACCCAAUAUGAGGUGGGACUAUUUUGCCAAGACCAGGUGGAUCCGCAUCAUCAACACCCUCACAUCCCAGGAGCAUAGGCUGGAGUGUGUUCCGAGGAGACCUUGAAUGAGAUUCCCCAGCGUUAACUUCGCAACAGCUCCCACGCCGCCAGCUCCACCUGGAAGCACAACUGCGUCAACCGGGACAUUAGUAAGACACUGGAGGAGAACGGUAUCCUCAACAAGGAUGAGGACUUCUACAGUGGACGCAUGGACUGCGACCUCUUCUCCCAGUCCAUCGGGUCUCUACUCAACGACAAUCCCACUGAACUUUGACCUCAUAUGUAAGGAUGUCAGAAAAUGGUGAUGAGCAAUAUGAGCAAUCUAUUAAAAGGUUGACUUACAAAAUACAUGUCCUUAAUUUAUUUUAUAUUGUGAUAUUGUUAUUAACAUUUUAUUACAGCGAAUUUGAGCKCGUAAAGGACUAGAACUCAUAACCUCACAAUCAACAUAAUUUCCUUGCCAUUCUAUCCCAGUGUCUUCCUUUUGUCAUUCCUUCAAACCUUCUUGCAUCUACAAUAGGCCAACAUACGUUAAUAAAUUAACAAUAGUCUGCCAAAACUGUACAUAAAACUGCAUGGUAACCAUGGUAAUUGUUUAUGUGAUWUUUAAUAGUAGGCUACUUCCUCUCAACAGCUCCUUUGUGGCUCUGCUGAGUUUUAAUUUCCUGUACUACAGAAUGUGCAGGAAACCAAAUCUACUGUAACAGUAGCAGUUUUAGCUAGUUGUGAAAAGCCAUGUUACACAUAUUUCUUUAAAUCAGUGACGUGUCAUUGUUAUCAAUGUCUAGUUUUUCAUCACAAUUAUUCAACACACACAUUUUUUACUGUAAAAUGUGCAUGCAGUGCCUUCAGAAAGUAUUCAUACUGUACCCCUUGACUUAUUCCACAUUUUGUUGUGUUACAGCCUGAAUUAAAUUUUGAUUGAAUUCAUGUGUUUUUCACCAAUCUACACACAA
This is a long non-coding RNA of Salvelinus sp. IW2-2015, 1683 nucleotides long. RefSeq lists it as uncharacterized. Lineage: Eukaryota; Metazoa; Chordata; Actinopteri; Salmoniformes; Salmonidae. The record is from RefSeq and is a predicted model, not a curated record.